UCCAGUACUGUACUAGGAAGGUUCUUCCCCAGUACUGUACUAGGAAGGUUCUUCCAGUACUGUACUAGGAAGGCUCUUCCAGUACUGUACUAGGAAGGUUCUUUCAGUACUGUACUAGGAAGGUUCUUCCAGUACUGUACUAGGAAGGUUCUUCCAGUACUGUACUAGGAAGGUUCUUCCAGUACUGUACUAGGAAGGUUCUUCCAGUACUGUACUAGGAAGGUUCUUCCAGUACUGUACUAAGCUGGAGCUCCAAACUGGAGAGACAUCAGAAAGUCAUAACUCUCAGAUCACUGUUUAAUAAAUGCCUAAUACAGAAUCAAUGAUUUUUUUUAGAAUUAAUUAGUCUGUGAUGUAACACAGAAUAAACAUAAUGUAAUUUAAAUGCAUAAUUAAGUGUUUGUUGUUUGUAUCAUCCGAAAGUUAUACAUUAAUUCUUCGUUAAUUUUCCCUUCUAUGUUUUAUGGAAUGGUUAAUGUUUUCUGUUGUCCAGUUCUCCGAGCUGGAAUCUUACGAAGAGAAAGAUUCCUUACUUGAUUGAUUUCUUUAUUAUUUUUUUUCGUGUGUUAGUAAGACACGAUAUGCGGUUUGUGGAAUCGUAUUGGAAAUAUAUUUUGUUCCCCAAGGGCUUUACCAAUUCUCAUCUGCUAUCUGGAAGGUUACUCUGGUGAGCAUCUUUCUCUUUUAUAUAGUUGGGACAGGAAGAGCACAGCUCUUCAUCUUCUGUUUCUUGAGGUGGUAUAAAUAAAUGAUAUGAGAUGCCGACGGGUUGUUGGAACAAUACUCAAAGCAGAAACACGGACAUUUGAUUGUUUUGCGACCUUAGUAACUCCAAAUGUGCAGUGACCGAGAUCUCCCAGGACCAAAAUGUUUCCAGUCAGUCAAUAUCACAGUGUUUGUAUGUUGUGUCUGUUUCCAACAGUCAGUGGAGUGUUUCUCGGUGUUAGAUGAUCCUGUGUUGAAGUACAAGGCCGCAGUUCGAUCAGCAUCAACAGCCACUACCUCCCUCCUGUCUCUAUGCACCGAGAAAAGAGAGGCAGCUGGCUGAGCCUCGUCUGUUACAGUUGAGUCACUCCCAGCAGCUGCCACACUCAGAUUCCUGACGCAGCUGAGAGCUGAUCUACAUGUUUCUUAGGCAGGCACGUCAUCCUUUAGCUUACUAUCCAACUCAACAGUCAAAAGGGACUGAAGCAGUGAUUCCUAGCCUCAGAUUGCUGGCCAAGAUGGCUGACUAGCGCGCCAUCUCUCCCUGAAUAAAGUUCACAAACUUAAUGUCAUGAUCGAGACUGGACGCCGCCUCACUCAACAUGAGGCAUACGUUCAAGGAUGAGAUGCUGGUUGUUUCCAGAGAUGAAGCAAGUCCAGGAAAUAUGAUGCUGCUUCCAGGCACUGUUUAGCACAGAAACACCACCCACAGAAAUACCACCUCACUUGAUAAGGAUGACCAUUCUAUACUGGAUACAGACACAAUCCUGGCAAUGAGCAAAUCUUCUCUUGAAGCGUCUCCUCCGACGCUUGUGAACCCACUAAUCACAACGCACCUGGACCAUCCCCACAAUGCCACUCACCCUCGUACCUUCCUUCUGUCUCUCUUAAGGUCCUGUCUUCCGGAAUGGUGAUGAGUGUGACUAGAUUACCAUGGAGAGUAAGAAAAAAGUCCCAGUACCGUGGCUGCAACACACCAGAACCCCGAACUUAAGAGAGAUGAACCUUGUGACCACAAUGGUUUACACUGAGGUUUACACUGAGGUUUACACUGAGGUUUAUACUGAGGUUUACAUCCUUCUACUUAUGUCCCGGGGGUCGUAAAUGUCGCUGAGUAAAAGUUGAUAAAUUAGACACAUGUACAACACUUGGGUAUCUUUACUGAGGAAACCUUUCGCCACACAGUGACUUCAUCAGUCCAAUAGAAAGAAAAAUAGUGAAGAUCGGAAGGAGAGUGAGGUAAUCAGUCCCUCAGCCUGGAGUCGAUGUUAUCAGUUCAUCAGUCUACGCUGAAGAAAGUUAAUCGUCGUCAGGUCCGGGUUCAACGCCAGCUCCGGGUUCAACGCCAGCUCCAGGUUCAACGCCAGGUCCGGGUUCAACGCCAGGUCCGGGUUCAACGCCAGGUCCGGGUUCAACGCCAGCUCCAGGUUCAACUCCAGGUCCGGGUUCAACGCCAGGUCCGGGUUCAACGCCAGGUCCGGGUUCAACGCCAGGUCCGGGUUCAACGCCAGGUCCGGGUUCAACGCCAGGUCCGGGUUCAACGCCAGGUCCGGGUUCAACUCCAGGUCCGGGUUCAACGUACCCCUCCACAUUAUCUGACCCAGUUUCAACUUAAACGAGGCGCCCUUAAUAUUAAUAGUUUGGGAAGAUGUUUUGCACGCUGUUGUUCUCUCAAUAAAUGAGAUAAAUUGAAGAAAACCACAAGAAGAUACCGCAGCUUUCACUGAAGGUUCACUGAAGGUUCACUGAAGGUUCACUCUAAUGUAUUCCUGGAAUAUAUUGUAUAUUUUGACUGUUUUAUACACCCUUACACUGUACCCCCUCACCCUACCUCCAUCUCCCUUCCUCCCUCACCUUUCCUCCGUUUCCCUAACUCCCUCAACCCCUUCUCCAUCUCCAUUCCUUCCUCACCUUACCUCCAUCUACCUCCCACGCCAUUUCUUCAUUUCCCUUACUCCCUCACCUCUCCUUCAUCUUCCUUACUCCCUCACAAUUCUUCCAUCUCUCCACUCUCCCCUCGAACCUUUCCUUCCAUACCUCCCCCCUCCCCACCACAUCUUCCAUACCUCCCCCUCCCCACCACACCUUCCAUACCUCCCCCCUCCCCACCACACCUUCCAUACCUCCUCUCCCCAUAACCACAUCCAAACCUCCCCAUGCCCCUUCCCCUCCCCACCUUCCCUCCCCACUUCCACUUCCAUACCUCCCCCUCCCCACCAUCCCUCCCCUAGUUCAAGCUGUAAGCAACGAACACAGUAGAAAAAUCUUUCACAUCAGGUUCUAACUAAAACAGUAGUUUGUUAUAGUCAGCUUAGUAACUAACUAUGAAUUAUAUUGUUAGUAAAUGGGCUUCCAGUCUGUGUUAUGUGUGUUCCCUUCCAUGAGCUAUCUUUCUCUCUCUCUCUCUCUCUCUCUCUCUCUCUCUCUCUCUCUCUCUCUCUCUCUCUCCUCUCUCCUCUUCUCUAUCAUCCACAAUUAAUCACAAAUACAACAGCUUGAGUAUAACACUGGGUGUAUAAAGUUCUCCACCAGACAUUAUCACAGUCUCUCACGGAGAGUUAUGUAUAUCUGUAUCAUACAAGUAUAUUCUUUGUAUUUUAUGUAUAAAACAUACACAUGUUUUCCGUUUUGUUUAAUAAAAAUAUACUUUU
Non-coding RNA from Cherax quadricarinatus, 3356 nucleotides. The record is from RefSeq and is a predicted model, not a curated record. NCBI's taxonomy places the organism in Eukaryota, Metazoa, Arthropoda, Malacostraca, Decapoda, Parastacidae.